This 469-nucleotide ribosomal RNA is filed under the name uncultured bacterium. RNAcentral's name for it is "partial 16S ribosomal RNA". It matches the Rfam family "Bacterial small subunit ribosomal RNA", at positions 27 to 507 of the family's 1533-position model. The record is from RNAcentral.
GGACGAACGCUGGCGGCGUGCUUAACACAUGCAAGUCGAACGGAAAGGCCCUGCUUUUGUGGGGUGCUCGAGUGGCGAACGGGUGAGUAACCCGUGAGUAACCUGCCCUUGACUUUGGGAUAACUUCAGGAAACUGGGGCUAAUACCGGAUAGGAGCUCCUGCUGCCUGGUGGGGGUUGGAAAGUUUCGGCGGUUGGGGAUGGACUCGCGGCUUAUCAGCUUGUUGGUGGGGUAGUGGCUUACCAAGGCUUUGACGGGUAGCCGGCCUGAGAGGGUGACCGGCCACAUUGGGACUGAGAUACGGCCCAGACUCCUACGGGAGGCAGCAGUGGGGAAUAUUGCACAAUGGGCGGAAGCCUGAUGCAGCAACGCCGCGUGCGGGAUGACGGCCUUCGGGUUGUAAACCGCUUUCGCCUGUGACGAAGCGUGAGUGACGGUAAUGGGUAAAGAAGCACCAGCUAACUACGUG